RNAcentral lists this ribosomal RNA (397 nucleotides) under uncultured bacterium. RNAcentral's name for it is "partial 16S ribosomal RNA". It matches the Rfam family "Bacterial small subunit ribosomal RNA", at positions 523 to 918 of the family's 1533-position model. The record is from RNAcentral.
AUACGUAGGUGCCAAGCGUUAUCCGGAUUUACUGGGCGUAAAGGGCGUGUAGGCGGUCUUGCAAGUCAGAAGUGAAAUUCCUGAGCUCAACUCGGGCGCUGCUUCUGAAACUGCAGGACUUGAGUGCUGGAGGGGAUAGCGGAAUUCCUAGUGGAGCGGUAAAAUGCGCAGAUAUUAGGAAGAACACCGGUGGCGAAGGCGGAUAUCUGGACAGUAACUGACGCUGAGGCGCGAAAGCGUGGGGAGCAAACAGGAGGAGAUACCCGGGUAGCCCACGCCGUAAACGAUGAAUACUAGGUGUAGGGGGUAUCGACUCCCUCUGUGCCGCAGUUAACACAAUAAGUAUUCCGCCUGGGGAGUACGGCCGCAAGGUUGAAACUCAAAUGAAUUGACGGGG